UAUCCUCAUUAUUUUGUAGCCAUUUUUGUUUGUUGAUCGACACUUUGCUGUUGGUUAUGCACACGAAUUAGGCCCACAGUGGCACUUGGUAGAUGUAAAUGGUAUGACCACAACAGUUACCUAUAACAUGGAUUCAGAUAACCCAAGGAUCACUGAAGUGUUUAAAGGUGGAUGUACACGAACAAGUUGGACAACAUUUAUGAACCGUAUUACUCAUCAAAAUACAAGAUCUAUAUUUUCAGUGAAAUUGUCAAAGUAUCAAAGCAAAGCAAGUCACUUGGAUUUGCCAUCAAAGUUUGCCAACUUUAUUCGGGAGGUCAAGGUAGAAGACGUCUUUCUUAUAGGGCCUAAAACUAUAGUGAAUUGCAA
Vigna unguiculata (cowpea) is the source of this 369-nucleotide long non-coding RNA. NCBI's taxonomy places the organism in Eukaryota, Viridiplantae, Streptophyta, Magnoliopsida, Fabales, Fabaceae. The record is from RefSeq and is a predicted model, not a curated record.